Molecule: long non-coding RNA, 1008 nt
Organism: Syzygium oleosum
Lineage: Eukaryota; Viridiplantae; Streptophyta; Magnoliopsida; Myrtales; Myrtaceae
Exons: 2
Source: RefSeq, a predicted model, not a curated record
CUGGUGAAUUAUGAUUAGAUUUUAUUAAAGGAGUCCAUUUUUCUACUUGACAAGUAUUAUGGGGUUUCUAUGUGUGGCGAGGAGCGAGAGAUGUGGCCUUAUUUCGCAUGCUGUGUGAGUGGGUUGAUUUGGAGUCACUUUGGUUGAGGCAAGGAGGACAAUUCUUGGGCUAUUUCUGUACUGUUUGAUUGAUUUGAUGGGAAAGAAGAGGUUAUUAGGGGUUGUCUAAUGGUAAUUUGAAGCAGUAUAGCCAGUGUUGUUUAACUUUUUAACUGAAUGCAUCUCAUAUUUCUUCAUUUGCACACAUGGAGGGAGCUUUAAAAAUUUCUUCUGGUUUUUGAAAUAUUAUUACCCAAAAAGCUGUCUUGGAUUGGCUGAGAAUCCCUUAGUGUCAUUCUGCUCUUAAAGUUCUUUCAUCUAUCCAUAAAAGGGGGCUGUCUUGGUCAUACAAAUGAAGAUUGCCUUUUCAAAGGUGAAAUCCAUUUGGAGGUUUCUUCCAUAUGCUGUCCAUGUUUAAAAUUUUAAUGUUUGAAUUAUUUUCAAAGGAGAGGCGAUGUUGUUGCAACUAAUGUAAAAGAGCUGAAAAAAGUUUGUGAUACUCUGUUGCUUCGCAUUUGGACUGAGGAAAUUUGGGCCCUGAUGUGUGCCCGGAGGAGUAUACUGGGUGGAAGCAGCACCUUAUGGAAUUGUUAUCCAACAGUUCAGACAUUCAAAUGCUUUGUUAGCUCGGCUGCCUGAGAUUGUUCAUGCUGUCAAUAAUCUUGAAUUCAGCUGUUGACUGAAUAAUCUUGAGUUCGACUAUCAAUCAAGCUGAUGCAUUGAUAGUUUUGUGCCCCUUUGGGAUGUUUUUGACUAGAAGUUCGUUAACUCACUAGUUGAUGUCUUUUGGCACAAGCAUGAUGACAGCCCAAAAGGCCCUUGGAUAAAAGUGGAUUCUCAAUGUUAUUGAAGCAUUGAGGGAGCAAUAAUUAUAGGGAAUGCCUACCCCGCAAACCCCCUACCGCACAA